CAUACCUAUGAUUUCUGAGAAAAUGUUAUUUUCCUGAUAUACUUGCUGCUCUGCUUCUUCUUGCCUGAAAUUCAGACAAAAUGCCUGGAGCUGCAGCAGCCAUCUUGACUGUAAGAGAAUUGUGCUGCUCUUCCUACAACUUCUGUGGGAGGAAUAUCAAGCACACGCCUUGCCCGUCCACUCCUACCGGCUCCUUUUGGAUAUUGAAGAUUUACACCUCCAGAGCAAAUCCAUAUUACUUCUGCCUGACUAAGGACAACACAGGAUCAUGUAACUAUAUUUACUGGAAAGGGUGCUCAUCAUUGUCCUGUAAGUACUACCAUACUGACCAUGGCUAUGGUCUCCUGGGAAAAAAAUUCUAUAAGAUCCUGCUCCAAUGAAAACUCACUUUAACUUGGAGGUCAUGGGUACACACAGACCACCAAGUCCAACCAGGGCUCACUUUCGCUUCUCAGUAAAUCUAUAUUGUGCUUCCCCUAAAGGAUCUGAGUAAAAACUAUCUGACAAAUUCUACUUCAUGAAAAUCUCACAAUAAGAUCUUCAGUUAUCACCUUCCUAUAUACUUGUGAUAAGUAUUUACAAAUAUUCAUUGGCUCCAAACAUGCAUUUUUAAUGCUUUUCUCAUCUUGAAAGAAUAAAACUAUUGAGAUUAUGUAACAACAAAUGAAUUUUCAUCUAGAGAAUGUAUCUUUUUUUUUUUGGACUUUUUUUUAUUUUUUAUUUUUUGACAGGCAGAGUGGACAGUGAGAGAGAGAGACAGAGAGAAAGGUCUUCCUUUUGCCGUUGGUUCACCCUCCAAUGGCCGCCGCGGCCAGCACGCUAUGGCCGGUGCACCACGCUGAUCCGAUGGCAGGAGCCAGGUGCUUAUCCUGAUCUCCCAUGGGGUGCAGGGCCCAAGCACUUGGGCCAUCCUCCACUGCACUCCCUGGCCACAGCAGAGAGCUGGCCUGGAAGAGGGGCAACUGGGACAGAAUCCGGCGCCCCGACCGGGACUACAACCUGGUGUGCUGGCGCUGCAAGGCGGAGGAUUAGCCUAGUAAGCCGCGGCACCGGCUAGAGAAUGUAUCUUAAAGGCAAUAAGGAUAAGCCUCAGAAAGAGUACAUGGUAGUGGGAGAUGAAUGUUUUUAUUCGUUAAAAAUACUCAGAAAAUGAGCAUCCACAGCACAUUGGGAUGAUGUUAAAAAUACUGAUUUUUUUUCUUUUCCCCCAAUAUUUGUAGCUAUGGAUUUUCAUCUCAUAUUGGUCUCAGAGGCCUUCGAAAUAGUAGUAGUGAGACCAUGCAUGAACAUAGAAAACUAUUAAUUACAAAGUACUCCUAUGCAUAUUUGAUUCUUUACAAUUAUCUUACGCGUUUGGGCUUCUGCAAUUUUCUAAACAUAAAGCUAAUGACAUUCACAGUUUUAAGUAAUCUGUUCAGGGAUUCAGCUAGUGAAGAUUAGAACCUCAAUGCUAGAUUUUCCCAUUUGAGAUCUGAGAACUUUCUAGUUCUCAUGUCUGCCAAUUCUCGUUUCUAUUGUGAAAAUUCUUAAUCAUUUGGUAGCAUCGUUCAAAUCAAAUUGUUGUCCUCAUAACACUGAGUUUAUGUUUCUAUUGUCUCCUUUCAUCAUACUACCCACCCCAGGACACCUGGAUCCUCAUGAUUCACACACUCAUGUCUCAGUCUUUAAUCCCAAAUUCCUGACUCAUGAUACUUCCUGGUGCAUUACUAUGGACUUUACUCUGGAAGAUGCCAAAGUCGCCUAUUCCAGUUCAUUAAAGAUAAAACCAUCCCAUAUACACUGAAAGCCAAAGAGUCCAACUAGAAUGGGAAAUGCAGAAUUUAUGAUGAUGCUUCAUUAGAACACAGGAAAAAAACUAAUUCUGGACUUCAGAAUUCCUGACAUGACUUUAUAUUCAUUUCUUCAUCAGCAUUCACUGAAUUCUUAUUUAGGGCUUAAUAAAGAAAAGGUUUUUUUUCCAUGCUAAUUGUAUUUUCAAGUAACAAUACAGAAAUGCACACAUACAUAAAUGAAGCCCAAGAAAACUUUUGCCUGUUGAACAAAAACAAUUACUGCAAAACUAGAGACAUUGGGGGCUGGCGCUGUGUUAUGACAGGUAAAGCCACCACCUGCAGUGCCAGCAUCCCAUAUGGGCACUGGUUUGAGUCCCUGCUGCUCCACUUCCUAUCCAGCUCUUUGCUAUGGCCUGGAAAAGCAGUAGAAGAUGGCCCAAGUCCUUGGGCCCCUGUAUCCAUGUGGGCGAUCAGAAAGACGCUCCCAGCUCCCGGCUUCAGAUCAGCCUAGCUCUGGCUGUUGCAUCCACUUGGGGAGUGAACCAGCAGAUGGAAGACCUCUCU
Non-coding RNA from Oryctolagus cuniculus (rabbit), 2336 nucleotides. Lineage: Eukaryota; Metazoa; Chordata; Mammalia; Lagomorpha; Leporidae. The record is from RefSeq and is a predicted model, not a curated record.